Long non-coding RNA from Sarcophilus harrisii (Tasmanian devil), 2345 nucleotides. Lineage: Eukaryota; Metazoa; Chordata; Mammalia; Dasyuromorphia; Dasyuridae. The record is from Ensembl.
CUUCCUCCAUUCUUUACAGAGGCGAGGAACCAGAGAUGUAGAAUAUUGCAUAUAAUGGGACAUGUGAUCGAGGAGUUUGUUAAUUUUGCUGACCUCUUUUUGUUUGUAAUAUAGGAAGGCUCUCUGAGAAGGAAAUGGAAGAGGAGUACAUUUUGAAAUGAAUGUGAUGUAGAAACAAAAAAAUUAUAAAAAAUUUUAAAGCAUUAGUUAUUGAAAAUAUCUGCAUAAAAUAGACACAAAAAUUAAACAUUUUUACAUGAACAAAAUUAAAUUAGAAUAAAGGAAAGUGUUGAGUAGAAAGAACCAUUCAUAAAGAUCUGAUUCUGAAAUUAUCAUUUUGUGUAUGCAUAAAUAUGUGUAUCACAUACUGUACAUAUGUGUAUAUAUGUAAUACAUUCAUAUAUAUGUAUAGAUAUAUGUAUAACAUGUUUUGUUAUGUUUUGUCUGCAUUCUUAUAUCUCCUUCCCGGCUCUGCUCAUGAUUUUCUGGACUUCAAAACCAUUCCUCAGCAGCUGUCUCAUGCUAGAAUUUCCCUCCUCACUUGGGACAUCCUCAUCCAGGAACAUCUAAGGUCUAUUCCCCCUUCUUGGAUUGAUGCAGAAGGGCUGAAGGAGAAGGAAUCGAUCUGGGUCUUAGAGAGGAACAUCCAUGUGAUACAGGGACCUGUGCAAAAAUGUAGGAGACAUAAUGAGGAAAUGGGAACCUGAAAGAAGCAACUACAGAAACUAGACCUCAUUCCACAAAGAACUUGAUACUUUUGCUGACAGCCCUGACUAUUGGAGGAACAACUGGCAGAGAAGCAGGAAAAGGAAAAAAAAAAGAUAUUGAAUUAUGGACGUUCAUUCUUAAGCCUCCUUGGGUUGGAACUAUGAACUGGAAUCAACCAGUGAGGCUAAUCAUAGUAUUGGGGAUGGUUAGGUUACCAGGGAAAAUAUUUUAUAGCCCAUUACACAAUAGAACUCAGGCCUAUACUGACCAACAAAUGUUGAAUUUCAGUUAAACAGGAUAUAAUUUUCAUCCCUCCAUUUAUUUUACUAAAUCUUGACUUUGAACUCAAAACAGAAGCUUUGCAAUCUGCAGUAAUUGCUCCUAGGAAUGAGUUAGAUUUAUUAUAUCUCAAUUACACUGUGAUUAUCACUUUACAUAUACAUAUACAUAUAUAUAUAUAUUAUAUAUAUUACACCAAUGAACUUUAAGAAUACAAAACAUAAUUGAAUUAAGAUAAGGAACAAGUUGCUUGGUAUAUGGGCCAUUCUAUAUUGGAUAGAGAUUUAGAUUGAUUGAAAAAUAUUACAUUGGACAUCAAAAAUAGCAAAAUUGCAAUUGAUAAAAAUGGCUUAACUGAAGAUAUGUUGGAGGUUUUGAAACAGAUAAAUCCUUUUAAAAAUAUGGGAAAUAUGCUUACAUUUUGGCUUGUUUUUCUUACUCCUGAUGUAAAAUACAAUGUUAAUACAUGCUGCUUGUUUAAAAUUGGCUUUAGAAAUUUCUCAGCAUUGUCCACAGACUUUCAAUACCUUGAGUUAAAAGAAAAGGGGGAGAAGUAGAGGGCCACAACAAGCAGAGCCCCCAGAGGGCUAUGCAGGGGUUCACAUGCUUUCUGUGCAGCUGUGGAUCGCUUUGCAAGCAGACUCGCCGCUCCUCCAUGACCAAGGCUGAAAAUAGGACGGGCUGACCUGAUGGGUCCCAAGAAGCGCUGCUAGCACAAGAAUGCCAUCAUCCGGAAGUUAUCUAUGUGAACAUGUAAGCAUCAGGAAAGCAUGCUGGAAAAAAAAUACAGUCAUCCUGGUGAUGAAUGCAUGUAACAGGAACCAAGCAUGACAAACUAGACAAUUUAUGACUGUGUUGCCAUUAAUGGAUUGGUACUGCUAGUCUGUCUUUAAUGUUAAUGUCUAUUUAAAAUGUAAACUAAGUAAUUUAGAGACAUUUGGUGAUAUUGAUACAUACACUAGCUUAAAGAGUAUAUAAACCCUGGCUCUCAGAACAAUAAAUGGACUUCUUUGCUAAAGCACCCGCCUGUCCCAUAUCAUACUUUCUCCUCAGUGAGGUCCUGGAGCUGGUCUCAGAAUUCCUUUAUAUUAUUGUUCUGGUAUCAGUUGUUCUGCCCUUUCACGCUACAUCAGUUCAUUCCUUUCAUUAUUUCUUGCAGUACAAUUACUUCACAUUACGGUCAUAUCCCACAAUCUGUUCAUUCAUUCCCUAUUGUGUAACAGACAAUCUAAUCUAAGGGGCCCUUCUUGGAUUUUAGGUUUUUGCUUUUCUUUUUCCCCCCUUUUAGGAUCCCUUCCAGGAUUAGUAAAUUUGUUUUUGUUUGUAUCUAUUCAAACAUGAGGCUUUCAGCUUGCAGG